Non-coding RNA from Lactuca sativa (garden lettuce), 538 nucleotides. The record is from RefSeq and is a predicted model, not a curated record. NCBI's taxonomy places the organism in Eukaryota, Viridiplantae, Streptophyta, Magnoliopsida, Asterales, Asteraceae.
UAUAAUUGUUUCGACAUUUGUCUAAUUUUACUUCAUUUUUUUCAUCUUUGCAGCCCUAAAUAAGUGAUAUGUUGCUUGAUUGUGAGUUACAGGAGCAGACAGAAAAUACAGUUGAUGGAGCGGGUUGGAUUUUCUUUAUUGCAAAUUUAAUUUCCGAAUAGGAUGGUACAGUGGUGGAACGCCUCUUGUGUUCAAGAUUUCAAGAACCUUCAUUAUAUGGGUCUGUUAGUUCAUCGUCCACAUGGCCUUAGGGUUUUGUAGGGGAAAUUGCAAUGGUGGUGCCUACUUAGCUCACAACUUAGGUUGUUAAUGAGCUCAGAGAAGGUGUCAAUUUGCUUCUUGGCUGAUGGAGUACACUUCAGAUGGCUAUUUAGAACGAAUGAGGAAUGAGGUGGACAUGACACCCACGACACCAUACGAUACCAUACAAAUAAAUAAACUCCAUUGAUAUGUAUUGGGUUUUAGCCCUAAAUAUUACAAUAUAUUUUAGUUUUAUAUUAAAUAAAUCAUAUUUUCCUUUAAAUAAUAGUACUAACCG